This 433-nucleotide ribosomal RNA is filed under the name uncultured bacterium. RNAcentral's name for it is "partial 16S ribosomal RNA". It matches the Rfam family "Bacterial small subunit ribosomal RNA", at positions 29 to 507 of the family's 1533-position model. The record is from RNAcentral.
AACGAACGCUGGCGGCAUGCCUAACACAUGCAAGUCGAACGAGACCUUCGGGUCUAGUGGCGCACGGGUGCGUAACGCGUGGGAACCUGCCCUUAGGUUCGGAAUAACUCCCCGAAAGGGGUGCUAAUACAGGAUAAUGUCUUCGGACCAAAGAUUUUUGGCCUUUGGUUGGGCCGUCGUUGGAUUGGUAGGUUGGUGGGGAAAAAGCCAACCAAGGGGACGUCCCAUAGCUGGUCUGAGAGGAUGUUCAACCACACUGGGACGAAGACACGGCCCAGACUCCUACGGGAGGCAGCAGUGGGGAAUAUUGGACAAUGGGCGAAAGCCUGAUCCAGCAAUGCCGCGUGAGUGAUGAAGGCCUUAGGGUUGUAAAGCUCUUUUACCCGGGAUGAUAAUGACAGUACCGGGAGAAUAAGCUCCGGCUAACUCCGUG